UACACAUGCAAGUCGAACGGAAAGGCCCUGCUUUUGUGGGGUGCUCGAGUGGCGAACGGGUGAGUAACACGUGAGUAACCUGCCCUUGACUUUGGGAUAACUUCAGGAAACUGGGGCUAAUACCGGAUAGGAGCUCCUGCUGCAUGGUGGGGGUUGGAAAGUUUCGGCGGUUGGGAUGGACUCGCGGCUUAUCAGCUUGUUGGUGGGGUAGUGGCUUACCAAGGCUUUGACGGGUAGCCGGCCUGAGAGGGUGACCGGCCACAUUGGGACUGAGAUACGGCCCAGACUCCUACGGGAGGCAGCAGUGGGGAAUAUUGCACAAUGGGCGGAAGCCUGAUGCAGCAACGCCGCGUGCGGGAUGACGGCCUUCGGGUUGUAAACCGCUUUCGCCUGUGACGAAGCGUGAGUGACGGUAAUGGGUAAAGAAGCACCGGCUAACUACGUGCCAGCAGCCGCGGUGAUACGUAGGGUGCGAGCGUUGUCUGGAUUUAUUGGGCGUAAAGGGCUCGUAGGUGGUUGAUCGCGUCGGAAGUGUAAUCUUGGGGCUUAACCCUGAGCGUGCUUUCGAUACGGGUUGACUUGAGGAAGGUAGGGGAGAAUGGAAUUCCUGGUGGAGCGGUGGAAUGCGCAGAUAUCAGGAGGAACACCAGUGGCGAAGGCGGUUCUCUGGGCCUUUCCUGACGCUGAGGAGCGAAAGCGUGGGGAGCGAACAGGCUUAGAUACCCUGGUAGUCCACGCUGUAAACGGUGGGUACUAGGUGUGGGGUCCAUUCCACGGGUUCCGUGCCGUAGCUAACGCUUUAAGUACCCCGCCUGGGGAGUACGGCCGCAAGGCUAAAACUCAAAGGAAUUGGCGGGGCCCCGCACAAGCGGCGGAGCAUGCGGAUUAAUUCGAUGCAACGCGUAGAACCUUACCUGGGUUUGACAUGGAUCGGGAGUGCUCAGAGAUGGGUGUGCCUCUUUUGGGGUCGGUUCACAGGUGGUGCAUGGCUGUCGUCAGCUCGUGUCGUGAGAUGUUGGGUUAAGUCCCGCAACGAGCGCAACCCUUGUUCACUGUUGCCAGCACGUUAUGGUGGGGACUCAGUGGAGACCGCCGGGGUCAACUCGGAGGAAGGUGGGGAUGACGUCAAGUCAUCAUGCCCCUUAUGUCCAGGGCUUCACGCAUGCUACAAUGGCUGGUACAGAGAGUGGCGAGCCUGUGAGGGUGAGCGAAUCUCGGAAAGCCGGUCUCAGUUCGGAUUGGGGUCUGCAACUCGACCUCAUGAAGUCGGAGUCGCUAGUAAUCGCAGAUCAGCAACGCUGCGGUGAAUACGUUCCCGGGGCUUGUACACACCGCCCGUCAAGUCAUGAAAGUUGGUAACACCCGAAGCCGGUGGCCUAACCGUUGUGGGGGAGCCGUCGAAGGUGGGACUGGUGAUU
Molecule: ribosomal RNA, 1418 nt
Filed under: uncultured organism
Description: partial small subunit ribosomal RNA
Rfam family: Bacterial small subunit ribosomal RNA
Source: RNAcentral